UACGUAGGUGGCGAGCGUUGUCCUGAUUUACUGGGCGUAAAGAGCGCGCAGGCGGCUGGUCAAGUCCGAUGUGAAAGCUCCCGGCUUAACUGGGAAAUUGCAUCGGAAACUGAUCGGCUGGAAGGUGGGAGAGGGUAGCGGGAUUCCCGGUGUAGUGGUGAAAUGCGUAGAUAUCGGGAGGAACACCAGUGGCGAAAGCGGCUACCUGGCCCAUUCUUGACGCUGAGGCGCGAAAGCUAGGGGAGCAAACGGG
This 253-nucleotide ribosomal RNA is filed under the name uncultured bacterium. RNAcentral describes it as "partial 16S ribosomal RNA". It matches the Rfam family "Bacterial small subunit ribosomal RNA", at positions 524 to 776 of the family's 1533-position model. The record is from RNAcentral.